GCCGUCCUAGCUCAAUUGGCAGAGCAGUGGUUUUGUAAACCACAGGUGGGUCGGCGGAGAGCUGCUCAGUCGGGCGAUGCUCAUUACAAUCAAGCGACCCGCGAUUUGACCAUCACCGUCGCAACGGCA
This 129-nucleotide transfer RNA is filed under the name Chloroflexota bacterium. RNAcentral describes it as "tRNA-Thr". The stretch from base 1 to 56 matches the Rfam family "tRNA". The record is from RNAcentral. Lineage: Bacteria; Bacillati; Chloroflexota.